AAAAAGAUAAGCUAAUUUAAGCUUAAAGGUUCAUACCCUUUAUAUAAAGGUUUUAAUCCUUUUCUUUUUA
RNAcentral lists this transfer RNA (70 nucleotides) under Georissidae sp. BMNH 840458. Its description in RNAcentral is "tRNA-Met". It matches the Rfam family "tRNA". Rfam says of the family: Transfer RNA (tRNA) molecules are approximately 80 nucleotides in length. Their secondary structure includes four short double-helical elements and three loops (D, anti-codon, and T loops). The record is from RNAcentral. Lineage: Eukaryota; Metazoa; Arthropoda; Insecta; Coleoptera; Georissidae.